Molecule: small nuclear RNA, 127 nt
Filed under: Brachypodium distachyon (stiff brome)
Lineage: Eukaryota; Viridiplantae; Streptophyta; Magnoliopsida; Poales; Poaceae
Description: snRNA U1
Rfam family: U1 spliceosomal RNA
About the family: U1 is a small nuclear RNA (snRNA) component of the spliceosome (involved in pre-mRNA splicing). Its 5' end forms complementary base pairs with the 5' splice junction, thus defining the 5' donor site of an intron.
Source: Rfam by way of RNAcentral
AUACUUACCUGGAUGGGGUCUAUGGCAGAUCAAGAAGGGUCAUGGCCUAGGCAAGUGGUCCACAUUGCACUUGGUGGAUGCACUUGCUUACCAUCUCCCCAAGUGGGAGAAUGGACAUCAUAAUUGC